This 75-nucleotide transfer RNA is filed under the name Halogranum tailed virus 1. RNAcentral's name for it is "Halovirus HGTV-1 tRNA". It matches the Rfam family "tRNA". From Rfam's summary of the family: Transfer RNA (tRNA) molecules are approximately 80 nucleotides in length. Their secondary structure includes four short double-helical elements and three loops (D, anti-codon, and T loops). Further hydrogen bonds mediate the characteristic L-shaped molecular structure. tRNAs have two regions of fundamental functional importance: the anti-codon, which is responsible for specific mRNA codon recognition, and the 3' end, to which the tRNAs corresponding amino acid is attached (by aminoacyl-tRNA synthetases). tRNAs cope with the degeneracy of the genetic code in two manners: having more than one tRNA (with a specific anti-codon) for a particular amino acid; and 'wobble' base-pairing, i.e. permitting non-standard base-pairing at the 3rd anti-codon position. Lineage: Duplodnaviria; Heunggongvirae; Uroviricota; Caudoviricetes; Thumleimavirales; Halomagnusviridae. The record is from Rfam by way of RNAcentral.
GCGUUCGUAGCCAAAUCAGGUAAGGCGUUCCGCUGAUAACGGAAAGAUUUGUUGGUUCAAAUCCAACCGGACGCA